UGCUGCUCUGGCCUGGGUUCUCAGAGGUACUUCACAGCUGGCUCAGAUCUGACUGGGCUUGUGCGCCUUGCCGAAGGCAGAAGAUAUACUGGUAGAAGCAAAGUGUGGGGAGAGGUUAGCUAACCACAAAAGAAUGGGCCUGACUCGAUAACCAGGAUAUUGGCUGGCCUUCUCUAACCUUCUUCAUACCCUCACCCUGCCUGCCUUGUCUACACACAAGCGGCACUCUUCUUUGAGUGCUGCACAGAGCCCUCCUUGUUGUAAAAAGAGCAGAUGGAGUCCUCUGCGAUUCCGAAGGACCACUUCUGCGUGGGAAGAGAGGGAGUUGGACAGG
Rattus rattus (black rat) is the source of this 334-nucleotide long non-coding RNA. RefSeq lists it as uncharacterized. The transcript has 3 exons. Lineage: Eukaryota; Metazoa; Chordata; Mammalia; Rodentia; Muridae. The record is from RefSeq and is a predicted model, not a curated record.